RNAcentral lists this ribosomal RNA (253 nucleotides) under uncultured bacterium. Its description in RNAcentral is "partial 16S ribosomal RNA". It matches the Rfam family "Bacterial small subunit ribosomal RNA", at positions 524 to 776 of the family's 1533-position model. The record is from RNAcentral.
UACGAAGGGGGCUAGCGUUGCUCGGAAUCACUGGGCGUAAAGGGUGCGUAGGCGGGUCUUUAAGUCAGGGGUGAAAUCCUGGAGCUCAACUCCAGAACUGCCUUUGAUACUGAGGAUCUUGAGUUCGGGAGAGGUGGGUGGAACUGCGAGUGUAGAGGUGAAAUUCGUAGAUAUUCGCAAGAACACCAGUGGCGAAGGCGGCUCACUGGCCCGAUACUGACGCUGAGGCACGAAAGCGUGGGGAGCAAACAGG